AGCUUUGCGCAGUGGCAGUAUCGUAGCCAAUGAGGUUUAUCCGAAGUGUGAUUAUUGCUAAUUGAAGUAGAAAGUCAGGUAGGCAAUGUGCGCCCUUGCCUGGAAAAAUACACUAGAGCAGGAAAUAAAGGUCUGGCAGUUCAGA
Small nuclear RNA from Mustela erminea (ermine), 145 nucleotides. RefSeq annotates it as U4 spliceosomal RNA. Lineage: Eukaryota; Metazoa; Chordata; Mammalia; Carnivora; Mustelidae. The transcript has a single exon. The record is from RefSeq and is a predicted model, not a curated record.